CGGUGGAGCAUGUGGUUUAAUUCGACGCAACGCGAAAACCUUACCUGGGCUUGACAUGGAGAGAAUCUUCUGGAAACAGAAGAGUGCCUCGUAAGAGGAGCUCUCACACAGGUGCUGCAUGGCUGUCGUCAGCUCGUGCCGUGAGAUGUUCGGUUAAGUCCGCUAACGAGCGCAACCCUCGCUGUGUGUUAUAUGUGUCACACGGGACUGCCGGCCUUAAGCCGGAGGAAGGUGGGGAUGAUGUCAAGUCAGCAUGGCCUUUAUAUCCUGGGCUACACACACGCUACAAUGGUCUGUACAAUGGGUAGCCAAGCCGCGAGGCGGAGCCAAUCCUGAAAGCAGGCCUCAGUUCAGAUUGCAGUCUGCAACUCGACUGCAUGAAGCCGGAGUUGCUAGUAACCGCAGGUCAGCAAUACUGCGGUGAAUACGUUCCCGGGUCUU
Molecule: ribosomal RNA, 441 nt
Filed under: uncultured Anaerolineaceae bacterium
Lineage: Bacteria; Bacillati; Chloroflexota; Anaerolineae; Anaerolineales; Anaerolineaceae
Description: bacterial SSU rRNA
Rfam family: Bacterial small subunit ribosomal RNA
Source: RNAcentral